AAGAACUGAGAGGGAGAGAAUCUUAGAGUGAAUAGUCAACCAGGCAGCUCUAAGGAAAAUAAGAAGGAGCUUAAUUUACUUUGUGGCAAAAUUAGUUUUCAGUCAUCAGAAAUAGAACUCCAAAACUGAGUUCUCCUAGUGAAGAAUAAAGACAUUGCUAUCUGUACAUAGUUAGGUCUUAUUAGUGGUUUGUUUAGAAAAUACUGCAUAUAUUUUGUCUGUACUGUAGAAGUAAUGUUACCUGUCUCAUAAGAAUAUUAUGUAAAAAAUGAAUAUAGAAACUUACUACAGUAUCCUGCAGUUGUCUAGGCACUUAUCAACAAUCUUAGUAGCAGACUGAGGGGAAAAAAUGAUGAAAUGCCCUGAGCAUGAUAUUUACAAAUCACUUGGACCACACCCACUCAAGGUUUUAGGAAAUCUUACUAAUGUCAUUAAAAACUAAUGAAUGCAAUUUAAGAGUCCUGAGAACAAGAAAGCAGUCUACUGGUCACAACUCUGAAAAAAUAAAAGCAUUUCAAUGUAUCCAGGGAUAGCAGGCAAUGUUCCUAAGCAAUACAUACUUUGGUUAGUUAGAGCCAAGUGCACUAACUAACCAGUUAUGUGAUAUGAGAUGUGAUGGGAGCCGGCAUUGAUUCUCAUUAUUAUUUGGAAAAGAGAUCUCUACCCAAUUCUCACACUUCUCCCUCUUUCCAACCACAGAACUGAGUGCAUAUAGUAUUAAAAUAAAGGGUACUAGAUGGAUACUUACAUGUGGCCAGAAAGCUUCCUUCUUAAACCCAGAAAGCGAGCAUGUCCUUUGAAUGAUCCAGCUCAAUCGCCUCAAAAAAUCCCUAUGAAACUGGAAGAGAAAUAGGAGCAGUAUCUACAACAGUUCUUCUCAAGAUGGGGCCUCCUAAAGAAUUAUUGAGACUGUUAUCACAGGCAGAUCAGUAAGGUUCCUCAUUUUAACAAGAAGUCCUCCUCCUUGAAAAGGCAGAAAACCAAAGAGUUUUAUAGGGAAUAAAAUUUCUGUGUUCCUAAGGCUGAGUCACACAUGACUGAACUUUUCAGGUUUAUGUGAAAGCCAAGUUAGAAUUAAAACUUUUUAUUUAUGCUUCUGUUAUAUUUGGCAAGUGAAUCAGGAGAUAUGGGUCAGUGCUAGGAAAUUCUCAGUCUCAGACCUUAGCACCUUUAUUAGAACCUCUCAUGGCACUUUAAAAAAAAAUAAUUAAUUAAUUAUAUUUUAACUGACCAAAAAUAAUUGUAUAUCUUUAUGGAUUACAAUGUGAUGUUUUGAUAUAUGUAUAUGUUGUAGAAAGAUUAAAUCAAGCCAAUUAACAUACUCCUCGCCUACUUAUUUUUUUGUGUAAUGAGAUUGUUGAGAAUGUUUAAAUAUACUCUUCAAGCAAUUUUUAAGUAUACUUUAAAUUUCUUCUUUUUCUUGUAUUUCAGUUCUUAAAGUAGGUGUGGGAGAGUUGGCUAAUGCAUUUAUGGUCUUGACACUUCCCUCAAUUGUUUGAGACUAAAGUUUCAACAGUUUUAAUUCCAUAAAAAUAAUUUAGUCUCAUUUUUACCUUCAGUUUUUCUCUCUGCACUGAUCUUUCCUUUGGGUUAUACAUCCAUUAAGUCUGCCUUAUGCCAAAAUACCAGCACAAAGAGAAAUCUCAUUACCUUGCUUUUUCCAUUUGUGUUUCAUCUCCUCUGGUGAUCUCCCCCAGCCUGCUGUCAGAUUUACCUUCCUAAUACACCAUUCUGCCAUUCAGCUGUGCUGCUCAAAAGGUUUCCAGGCCUCCCCAUUACAUGAAGUUCAUGCUCUUUAGCCUGGUUCAAGGCUUUAAGACCUUAUCAGGACAGUCCACACUUCUCUCAUAUCGCACCCUGUGCUUUUGCCA
This is a long non-coding RNA of Callithrix jacchus (white-tufted-ear marmoset), 1871 nucleotides long. NCBI's taxonomy places the organism in Eukaryota, Metazoa, Chordata, Mammalia, Primates, Cebidae. The record is from Ensembl.